This 406-nucleotide ribosomal RNA is filed under the name uncultured bacterium. Its description in RNAcentral is "partial 16S ribosomal RNA". It matches the Rfam family "Bacterial small subunit ribosomal RNA", at positions 30 to 526 of the family's 1533-position model. The record is from RNAcentral.
AUUGAACGCUGGCGGCAGGCCUAACACAUGCAAGUCGAACGGGUGGCGGACUGGUGAGUAGUGUCGUGACAACUGCCUGACGGACGGGGCUAACUGGGGGAAACGGUAGCUAAUACCGCAUACCAUCAUAUCGGCCGUCAGGGGAUUAGCUAGUUGGUGGGGUAACGGCUCACCAAGGGGACGAUGCCUAGCAGGGCUAAGAGGCUGACCGGCCACACUGGAACUGAGACACGGUCCAGACUCCUACGGGAGGCAGCAGUGGGGAAUAUUGCACAAUGGGCGCAAGCCUGAUGCAGCCAUGCCGCGUGAAUGAAGAAGGCUUUCGGGUUGUAAAGUACUGUCAUCGGGGAGGCGUUACCCGCAGAAGAAGCACCGGCUAACUACGUGCCAGCAGCCGCGGUAAUUC